CCCUGAUCUCUUCGGAGUUGAGGGGAGUGGUGGAGCCGGUGACCCAGGCUGGUAGUAGGUGAGUGAUGGGGUGACGCAGGAAGGUAGUCCAUCCCGGGCGGUGGUUGUCCCGGGGUAAGGGUGUAGGGCGUUGCGUAGGUAAAUCCGCGCAGCUUGUGCCUGAGACCUGAUGCCGAGCCGAUUGUGGUGAAGUGGAUGAUCCUAUGCUGUCGAGAAAAGCCUCUAGCGAGUUUCAUGGCGGCCCGUACCCUAAACCGACUCAGGUGGUCUGGUAGAGAAUACCGAG
Molecule: ribosomal RNA, 286 nt
Filed under: Streptomyces evansiae
Lineage: Bacteria; Bacillati; Actinomycetota; Actinomycetes; Kitasatosporales; Streptomycetaceae
Description: Streptomyces sp. DSM 41979 partial 23S ribosomal RNA
Rfam family: Bacterial large subunit ribosomal RNA
Source: RNAcentral